This 327-nucleotide ribosomal RNA is filed under the name uncultured Rhodobacter sp. Its description in RNAcentral is "bacterial SSU rRNA". It matches the Rfam family "Bacterial small subunit ribosomal RNA", at positions 509 to 835 of the family's 1533-position model. The record is from RNAcentral. Lineage: Bacteria; Pseudomonadati; Pseudomonadota; Alphaproteobacteria; Rhodobacterales.
CAGCAGCCGCGGUAAUACAGAGGGGGCUAGCGUUAUUCGGAAUUACUGGGCGUAAAGCGCACGUAGGCGGAUUGGAAAGUUGGGGGUGAAAUCCCAGGGCUCAACCCUGGAACUGCCUUCAAAACUCCCAGUCUUGAGGUCGAGAGAGGUGAGUGGAAUUCCGAGUGUAGAGGUGAAAUUCGUAGAUAUUCGGAGGAACACCAGUGGCGAAGGCGGCUCACUGGCUCGAUACUGACGCUGAGGUGCGAAAGCGUGGGGAGCAAACGGGAUUAGAUACCCUGGUAGUCCACGCCGUAAACGAUGAAUGCCAGUCGUCGGGCAGCAUGC